This 396-nucleotide ribosomal RNA is filed under the name uncultured bacterium. RNAcentral describes it as "partial 16S ribosomal RNA". It matches the Rfam family "Bacterial small subunit ribosomal RNA", at positions 360 to 773 of the family's 1533-position model. The record is from RNAcentral.
AAUAUUGGUCAUGGGGGGCAACCCUGAUCCAGCCAUACCGCUUGAGUGAUGAAGGCCAUAGGGUUGUAAAUCACUUUCAUUGGGGAAGAUAAUGACGGUACACACACACGAAGCCCUGGCUAACUUCGUGCCAGCAGCCGCGGUAAUACGAAGGGGGCUAGCGUUGUUCGGAUUUACUGGGCGUAAAGCCCACGUAGGCGGAUUGGUCAGUUAGGGGUGAAAUCCCGGAGCUCAACUCCGGAACUGCCUUUAAUACUGCCAGUCUAGAGUCCGAGAGAGGUGAGUGGAACUCCUAGUGUAGAGGUGGAAUUCGUAGAUAUUAGGAAGAACACCAGUGGCGAAGGCGGCUCACUGGCUCGGUACUGACGCUGAGGUGCGAAAGCGUGGGGAGCAAAC